Molecule: transfer RNA, 92 nt
Filed under: Caudoviricetes sp.
Lineage: Duplodnaviria; Heunggongvirae; Uroviricota; Caudoviricetes
Description: tRNA-Ser
Source: RNAcentral
GCAUAACAUACUGAUUAUAAAUCCAUUUGAUUUGGUCUUGAAAACCGGCGACCCGAAAGGGUUCCAGAGUUCGAAUCUCUGCGCUUCCGCCA